GUUGCAAGACUGAGGCCAUAGCAGAAGCGCUCAUGUCUGGCCUGUCAGAUUCCAACAAAUCUGUGACUUCUGCU
This 74-nucleotide long non-coding RNA is filed under the name Crocodylus porosus (Australian saltwater crocodile). RNAcentral's name for it is "Mammalian CPEB3 ribozyme (ENSCPRG00005006455.1)". It matches the Rfam family "Mammalian CPEB3 ribozyme". Rfam says of the family: The mammalian CPEB3 ribozyme is a self cleaving RNA located in the second intron of the CPEB3 gene which belongs to a family of genes regulating messenger RNA polyadenylation. This ribozyme is highly conserved and found only in mammals. There is currently only one other known self cleaving ribozyme in mammals, the CoTC motif. Lineage: Eukaryota; Metazoa; Chordata; Crocodylia; Crocodylidae. The record is from Rfam by way of RNAcentral.